UUAAGAAUCUUGCACAAUGGGCGCAAGCCUGAUGCAGCGACGCCGCGUGAAUGAUGAAGGCUUUAGGGUUGUAAAGUUCAGUAAGCAGGGAAGAAUAAGCAAGAGGUAAUAUUUCUUGUGAUGACGGUACCUGCCUAAAGCCCCGGCUAACUACGUGCCAGCAGCCGCGGUAAUACGUAUGGGGCGAGCGUUGUUCGGAAUUAUUGGGCGUAAAGGGCGUCUAGGCGGGAAAUUAAGUUAGGUGUGAAAGCUAUGGGCUCAACCCAUAAACUGCAUCUAAAACUGAUUGUCUUGAGUUCGGGAGAGGAGAGCGGAAUUCCAGGUGUAGCGGUGAAAUGCGUAGAUAUCUGGAAGAACACCAGUGGCGAAGGCGGCUCUCUGGCCUAGAACUGACGCUGAAGCGCGAAAGCGUGGGGAGCGAACA
RNAcentral lists this ribosomal RNA (424 nucleotides) under uncultured prokaryote. RNAcentral's name for it is "bacterial SSU rRNA". It matches the Rfam family "Bacterial small subunit ribosomal RNA", at positions 355 to 774 of the family's 1533-position model. The record is from RNAcentral.